This 459-nucleotide ribosomal RNA is filed under the name uncultured bacterium. RNAcentral's name for it is "partial 16S ribosomal RNA". It matches the Rfam family "Bacterial small subunit ribosomal RNA", at positions 338 to 795 of the family's 1533-position model. The record is from RNAcentral.
CCUACGGGUGACAGCAGUGAGGAAUAUUGGUCAAUGGCCGGGAGGCUGAACCAGCCAAGUCGCGUGAGGGAGGACGGCCCUACGGGUUGUAAACCUCUUUUGUCAGGGAGCCAGGUGCAGGUCGGGCCCUGCUGUGAGAGUACCUGAAGAAAAAGCAUCGGCUAACUCCGUGCCAGCAGCCGCGGUAAUACGGAGGAUGCGAGCGUUAUCCGGAGUUAUUGGGGUUAAGGGGUGCGCAGGCGGGGGCACAAGUCAGCGGUAAAAUCGCGGGGCGCAACCCCGCUCCGCCGUUGAAACUGGGAGGCUUGAGGAUGUUUGAGGCAGGCGGAAUGCGUGGUGUAGCGGUGAAAUGCUUAGAUAUCACGCAGAACCCCGAUGGCGAAGGCAGCCUGCCAAGCCAUGACUGACGCUGAUGCACGAAAGCGUGGGGAUCAAACAGGAUUAGAUACCCCUGUAGUC